CCUACGGGAGGCUGCAGUGAGGAAUAUUGGUCAAUGGACGAGAGUCUGAACCAGCCAAGUAGCGUGAAGGAUGACUGCCCUAUGGGUUGUAAACUUCUUUGAUAUGGGAAUAAAAUGUUCCACGUGUGGGAUUUUGUAUGUACCAUAUGAAUAAGGAUCGGCUAACUCCGUGCCAGCAGCCGCGGUAAUACGGAGGAUCCGAGCGUUAUCCGGAUUUAUUGGGUUUAAAGGGAGCGUAGGUGGAUUGUUAAGUCAGUUGUGAAAGUUUGCGGCUCAACCGUAAAAUUGCAGUUGAAACUGGCAGUCUUGAGUACAGUAGAGGUGGGCGGAAUUCGUGGUGUAGCGGUGAAAUGCUUAGAUAUCACGAAGAACUCCGAUUGCGAAGGCAGUUCACUGGACUGCAACUGACACUGAGGCUCGAAAGUGUGGGUAUCAAACAGGAUUAGAUACCCGAGUAGUC
Molecule: ribosomal RNA, 460 nt
Filed under: uncultured bacterium
Lineage: Bacteria
Description: partial 16S ribosomal RNA
Rfam family: Bacterial small subunit ribosomal RNA
Source: RNAcentral